RNAcentral lists this ribosomal RNA (367 nucleotides) under uncultured bacterium. RNAcentral's name for it is "bacterial SSU rRNA". It matches the Rfam family "Bacterial small subunit ribosomal RNA", at positions 441 to 793 of the family's 1533-position model. The record is from RNAcentral.
AGGAAGGUAGUGUAGUUAACACCUGCAUUAUUUGACGUUACCUACAGAAGAAGCACCGGCUAACUCCGUGCCAGCAGCCGCGGUAAUACGGAGGGGUGCGAGCGUUAAUCGGAAUUACUGGGCGUAAAGCGCAUGCAGGCGGCCUGUUAAGUCAGAUGUGAAAGCCCCGGGGCUUAACCCUCGGAAUUGCAUUUUGAAACUGGCAGGCUAGAGUCUUGUAGAGGGGGGUAGAAUUUCAGGUGUAGCGGUGAAAUGCGUAGAGAUCUGAAGGAAUACCAGUGGCGAAGGCCGGCCCCCCUGGACAAAGACUGACGCUCAGAUGACGAAAGCGGUGGGGGAGACAAACAGGAUUAGACUACCCUGGUAG